Molecule: ribosomal RNA, 253 nt
Filed under: uncultured bacterium
Lineage: Bacteria
Description: partial 16S ribosomal RNA
Rfam family: Bacterial small subunit ribosomal RNA
Source: RNAcentral
UACGUAGGGUGCGAGCGUUAAUCGGAAUUACUGGGCGUAAAGCGUGCGCAGGCGGUUCGUUGUGUCGGUGGUGAAAGCCCCGGGCUCAACCUGGGAAUGGCCAUGGAAACUGGCGAACUGGAGUGUGGCAGAGGGGGGUGGAAUUCCGCGUGUAGCAGUGAAAUGCGCAGAUAUCGGGAGGAACACCUAUGGCGAAGGCAGCUCGCUGGGACGUUACUGACGCUGAGACGCGAAAGCGUGGGGAGCAAACAGG